This 44-nucleotide small RNA is filed under the name Archaeoglobus fulgidus. The record is from RNAcentral. Lineage: Archaea; Methanobacteriati; Methanobacteriota; Archaeoglobi; Archaeoglobales; Archaeoglobaceae.
GCCAAAACCAGGGUGUUUGGAUUUUAUUUUAGGUUUAGCUUUGG